Long non-coding RNA from Antechinus flavipes (yellow-footed antechinus), 748 nucleotides. RefSeq lists it as uncharacterized. NCBI's taxonomy places the organism in Eukaryota, Metazoa, Chordata, Mammalia, Dasyuromorphia, Dasyuridae. The record is from RefSeq and is a predicted model, not a curated record. The transcript has 4 exons.
GGCUCGCUGCUCUGAGCAGAGGGCUGUUGGUCUCAGAAUACCCGGAGGUUCCGGAAUCAGAUGAGAUUCAGAAGAGCUAGAUGUUUGUGUCGAGAAUGGCCAAGAGCUGCCUCAGGCCAGUCACGGGCAGGGCCCCGGGGAGCUCCGGGGAGCGUCAGAGCCAAACCGUCCCCGAGACACCCUCUCCUCCAGCAGGGCUUCCUCCUAACGCUUGGGGCUUCCAGGGUAGGAAAAGCAACAAGCCCAAGGAGGUAACAGAGGUCAGGGCCGGCCUGAGAGCUGCUGGCUGGGGAACUAAGCUCCUCUGUCUCGCUCCCCUCGCUCUGGAAGCAUUAAAUAAGAAACCUGGGCAAGGCUUCCAAUCAUCCUAGAAGUAUUCGGGGGAUUUGACUUCAUUUUUCCUCCCCUGCACCAAUCUCCCAAGACUGCCAUCCUUCUACCCACCAUCGAGAAUGAUUAGGUGAGCAAAUCAACUAUGGAAGGCUUCAGGGAUUCUAAGAGACUUCAGUAAGAAGUAGAAAUUAGCCUAUUGAAAGGUGUGGACACAGGAUAGGAUGCUAGACCUAGGACUACAGAUGAGAAAACUGAGGGUCAGAGAGAAGAUUUGGCCUGGAUCACGCAGAUAAAUUUAUGACAGGAUUUGAAUUUAGGUCCCCCAGAACCAAGACUCAUGUUCUUUCCAUUAAGCCACAUGCACGUGACACCUGUGGAUUGAGAAGAGUAUAGUAGUGGCUGUGGGGCUGAGACU